Molecule: small nucleolar RNA, 135 nt
Organism: Carassius auratus (goldfish)
Lineage: Eukaryota; Metazoa; Chordata; Actinopteri; Cypriniformes; Cyprinidae
Product: small nucleolar RNA SNORA5
Source: Ensembl
UGCAGCCUUGUCAAAUUCGGUGUUUCCUCCUCAGUGGACGGCACUGGCCAAAAUGGCUGCAACAGUGAAUUUGUAGCCCAUGGGCCCCAUGUUCCUGUACAGUGGGAACUGGGGAUAGAAGGGCUAUGUACAAAU